CACGGGGCCGCCGCAGCGUCCGAGACUGGCCCCCGCAUCCUGGGGCGCAGCGCCGAGUGGAGAGGGGCGCGGACGCGAAGAGAAACAUGAAGCAAAGACACACAACAAUAAAUGAAGAUUUCUAAACCUCCAGUGACAUCAAGAAACCAAUCUGUUCCGGAUGAAAAUGAGAGAAGUUAUCUGUGUAGUGAAAAGUGUUUACAUUGGUAUUAAAGAGCAAAGCAGAUCUCUUUGUCUGGGGCCAAGACUCAUCCAAGGGGACCUGACCUUGUUUGGGAUGGGGUCUUUACUGCUGGGUUAUAGGAGACAAUUAAAGCAAAGAAACCUCACAAGCAGAUGGCCAAGAGACUCGGUGAGUGGUAUCAGAUUCUUAUUGCAUACAAUCUUCAAUAGCAUAAAAGAGAUUGUUUAAAAAAAAACCCAACAACCCUUAUAACCAAUGUCUGUUAGAAUUUUGAACCUUUCAAUCACUGCUUUAUUAGAAGGAACAUCCUCCUGAUUUGAGCCAAGAACACUCAAGAGGCACACUCACUGAGUUGCAUGAGAAUGGAGAGAGAACAUUUGUGAACUCAAAACCUGGC
Delphinapterus leucas (beluga whale) is the source of this 581-nucleotide long non-coding RNA. Lineage: Eukaryota; Metazoa; Chordata; Mammalia; Artiodactyla; Monodontidae. The record is from Ensembl.